This is a long non-coding RNA of Papaver somniferum (opium poppy), 2021 nucleotides long. RefSeq lists it as uncharacterized. The transcript is spliced from 5 exons. Lineage: Eukaryota; Viridiplantae; Streptophyta; Magnoliopsida; Ranunculales; Papaveraceae. The record is from RefSeq and is a predicted model, not a curated record.
GCAGCCUUUUCCUUUUUCUUCCGAGUUCUGCAACUCUUCUCCAUCUAUUUUCAUCUCCUCCAAGAAAUUAGAAUUUGAAACCCAACUUCAACAAUAAUAGUGAAAUAGAAGAACUAAGAUAAUCAUCGUUUUUUUUUUAUGAUAUCCCCAAACCCUUUCUUCAUCUCCUCUACUAAAGUUUCUUUAUCACCUACACAACGAAAACCCUAUCUUCUAAAUUAUGUGCAUCGUCAUUAAACAAGCCCUUUACUCCACCUCGUUCUUAUUGAUGUCUUCUAUUAAUUUUUCCGUUUUCUGGAAACAGAAACAGAACCAUUUCUUAGAUCUGUAACCAAUUUCUUAGAUUUGUAACAUGUAAUCUUAAUUGUGAACCAUUCUUAAAUCCAUUUUUUUGCCUUUAUCUGUUAGGGUUCUAAUCAACUAUUCUUCUAUUUCGUAAACGGAACCCCCUUUUAUUUCAACAUCAGUAGUAUAUCGGAGAAGAGUACCACAAAAAUCAGAGAAGAUGUUCUGGUUAUUAUCAUUGGAUUUAUUUGUGUUAUGUUUUAUUCGAAGUAAUACAUCUACAAAGCAGUCAUCAGGGAUCAGCUGGAACACAUGAUUCUUGGGGACCUCAAAUUAAGGGUCUUACUUGAGACACCAAAUGAUGAGAUGAACAUCAUUAGAUACGAUUCAUUUAGUUUAUUGAUGAUCUCAGUUGAGUAAGAAAUGGAAUUGACUAUUGAGGUUUGUGCAUUUGAUAAUUGUGGAAUGGGCUAGAGUUCGAUACCCAUUAGAAAAUCUGAACACAUGGACAACAAUAUGGCAAAAGAUGCAGUGGCAUUAAUUGAUCAUUUAGGUUGGGGUAAAGCUCAUGCUUUCAAUCAUUUUGACAACCCCCUUAUUUUCAUUUGGAUAACUUGUGGUAUAAUCUCUGCUCAGGGAAUGUUGAAAUUCUUCAAAUGGGUUUCUUGGUAUGAAACUCAAAUUGGAAUUUCAUAUUCUCCCAAUUAUGGAGCUCAUGGUCUGAAAUAUUUUGGUUAGUCCUAUUUUCUGUAGGCAUGCUUCGUAUGAUUUGGUUGCUCUGAAUUUUGGAGAUGCUUUAGAUUGAGACCGUAUGCUAUGUUCCAGUUGUACCGAAGAAUUUGUGACUUAUUGGACUUUUGGUUUUGUAAAUAUAGAAUUUGUGAUUGAUAAGUUACAUUACCGAGAGCUCCACAAGUACCAGGGGCCAUCAAUUAUUUCAUGGAAUUCCUCAUGUGGUCAUUUAAUUUGCAUCCAAGUGAUGAUCUGAAAAUCCAAACUAUUUCUUCUUAUCUGAUAUAUGAUAUCGGGGAUGCCAAGCUUGCAGGUUUGCUUCCACAUUACAGGUUAUAUAAGUUUCAUUUUUCUUUUCCUUGCCUCGUUUUAAAGUUAAUCAACAUCUGAGUUGUUUUAUUUUUCUUAUGUCUUAUUGGAUAUUGCGAUUGGACCCCUAAUGGUAUUGAUGAUGAAUUUGUGUUUUGUGUUUGUGUUAAGAGUUCCUUCUUUAGUUUCUUGUAGUGUAGUGUUAAAAAUUCUUUAAUGUUUGUUGUAGGAAGAGAAAGUUGAGGUGGAGGAUAUUGUUGCAGAAUCGAUUCUGGAUAUUGUCCACGAUAAAUAUGCUCACUACAAGAAAACUGAGCUUGUCCAAUCUGCUUACGAUUCUGUGUUGGGUCAUCUAGUUAGAGCCAUUUGCUGGUUAUUAUGGAGUCAUUGGUCACCACAUAAAAAUCAAUGGUCGGAGACGAAGAAGGGCCAAAAGAGAUAGCACCAGGGAAGAUGAAAGUCCAGUUUUCAUGCAGGUGCAUCCUGGAACGAAAAUAACAAGCGAUCGGUAUUGCAAUUGAGAGCACAAGGUUGAAAAAACUUUAGGUAGCUAUUACGAAUUUGUUUUAUUAUGUAUAAACAAUUGAAGUGGAUAUUCAAGUUUUCAUAUAUUGUGAACUUGGGUAGUAGUUAGAAAUUGAAGUGUAAAUUGAAUCUAGCUUUUAAUGUAAAUAUUUACUUUGUUUCCAUAUUAA